GUUCGGCCCAGGCCUCCGCCACACAGCCUGCCCGGGCCGGCUGGGCCUGGCUAGCCAGAGUCCUCCACGCCCAGCCCCAAGCCCCGCCUGUGGCGCCCCCCACUCCCCAACCCCGGCGUUCAAGGAGCAUGCGCAAGAGCCGGUGUCCAGAGCGGACCGCGCGAGGCCUCCAGUCUGCAGCUGGAAGAAGGGUGUGCGGAGGCCAGUCUCCAGGACAGGCGCUCCCGGGAAGUGCUGCUGCAGAGCGCACGCUGAAAGUUAAAAGGCUUCUGGCUCCAGCGCCGGCGGGCAGCAGGACCUGGGACCUCGCAGGCAGGGUUUCCUGUCCGCGCCAGGGAAGUGGACGAGGCCAGGCGGAGCUGCAAGGUCAGCCACGGAGGGCUCCAGCGGGGGACAAGACACCGUCACUGCGGAUGGCAUGCAUCCCUCCGGGGCCUGUUCACCAGGCGAGCAAGCAGGCUGGUCGUGAGUGUGCGCUAGGAGCUGGGUGGAGCCCGGAUUUCUAGACGGUCUCCUAUCUGGGCCUCCUGAAAAAUAAGUGGAGACCCCCUUCCAGUGUGUUGAGGGGCUGACCCGCGCUGCCCCUUGCCUGGUGGAGGAGAAGGCUGGUCCCCAGGAAGCUCUGCACCACGGAGCAGACUGUGUGUUUUUGCUGGAAUAUAAUUGGUGAAAUGGCUUGUUGUUUGUUUUUGUGGUAUUGGGCAUGGAUCCCAGGGCCUCCAGCAAGCAGGCUAGGUGAGGCUCUGCCACGAGAUACCUCCCCAGCCCGGGGGUUGGGUUUUAAAAAAGCAACAGGAGGUUAAUUUUUUUUUUUUUUUUUUUGCCAUUUCAUUCCAAUCUCGACCGAAUCAGGAUUUAAAGUAGUUUAUUAUGGAAUACUGUGGCACUAACUUAAAGAAAAGGUGAGGUAAGUAUGUAAAUCAUCCAAUAGAAAAGUAAAGUAAAAUCUUGAACGUGUUUUACAAAAGCCAAAACCAAACAAAACGAAAAAAGCCCAACAACAAACAAACAGAAAACCAAAAAAGCUGGGAAAGUCUGAGAAUCUGGUGGUCUAGAGGGGCCCAGGAGGUGGGGUGACUAAGGCCAUGUGUGGCCUGGGGUCCUGAGGCAGAAGGAGGACAUGGGUGGAACUGAGGAAGUCCCGAUAAAGCCUGACUUCAGUGAGUGCUGCUGUGUCCCUGUGGGCUCCUGAGUGGUACCAAGUGGGCCCGGCUAUUGCAAGACCACCUCAUGCAGAACAUUGGGUGGGGGCUCAUGGGAACUCUCACCGUCCCCGAGGCUUUUCUGCGACUCGGAAGCCACUCUAAGAUCAUAAAAGCUUAUUCAAAAUAUCCUUCUCAGGAGUGAAAAGGAAAGCCGCCGAGUGUGAGAAAGAAAUUCGUAAUCAGCCAGGUAAAAGGGAAGAUGGCUGCAGAAUGGUCAAAAAGUAAAGAGCAAAAGUUCUUCUGUGAGCUUUUGAAAGUUUCCCAAAGGGGUAAAUUUUCUAGAGCUGGACCUUCCAGAGGGAAUACUUUUCUGGAAGCUAACAAUACUUUACAAGGUUGAGAAACACUAAAUUGACCAGUCUGCCUCUUCAGCUGGACUUAGAAAAUUUACAACCAACCAGGACCGAGUUGGUGUCCAAGUUCCAGGGUUACCUCAGUCCUGUUUAACUUCUCUAAAGACUGUUCCUUUUUGUUAGGAAAGCCUCAGACCUGCUCCACCUCUGUGGAGCGUUCAUUCACUCUAGUUCAACUGGGUUUGAAAAGUAUAUCCAGAAUAAAAGGAUCUUUGCUUUAA
Long non-coding RNA from Marmota monax (woodchuck), 1779 nucleotides. RefSeq lists it as uncharacterized. The transcript is spliced from 2 exons. Lineage: Eukaryota; Metazoa; Chordata; Mammalia; Rodentia; Sciuridae. The record is from RefSeq and is a predicted model, not a curated record.